RNAcentral lists this ribosomal RNA (251 nucleotides) under uncultured bacterium. Its description in RNAcentral is "partial 16S ribosomal RNA". It matches the Rfam family "Bacterial small subunit ribosomal RNA", at positions 524 to 776 of the family's 1533-position model. The record is from RNAcentral.
UACGUAGGGCGCAAGCGUUGUCCGGAAUUAUUGGGCGUAAAGAGCUCGUAGGCGGUGUGUCGCGUCGGCUGUGAAAACCUGGGGCUUAACCCCGGGCCUGCAGCCGAUACGGGCAGACUAGAGUUCGGCAGGGGAGACUGGAAUUCCUGGUGUAGCGGUGAAAUGCGCAGAUAUCAGGAGGAACACCAAUUGCGAAGGCAGCUCGCUGGGACGUGACUGACGCUGAGACGCGAAAGCGUGGGAGCAACAGG